RNAcentral lists this long non-coding RNA (1524 nucleotides) under Gadus morhua (Atlantic cod). RNAcentral's name for it is "lncRNA (ENSGMOG00000027964.1)". The record is from RNAcentral. Lineage: Eukaryota; Metazoa; Chordata; Actinopteri; Gadiformes; Gadidae.
GGGGGCGACAGUAGCUCAGGAGGUAGAGCGGGUUGACUGGCAACCAGAAGGUCGCUAGUUUGAUCCCCGGCUCCUCCUAGCUGAGUGCAGAGGAGUGUAAAUGCAAAUGUAAGUAGGCUUAGCAGACAGACGCCCGGCUGUACUGUUUCCUCAAAGGUGGUGAUUUGUAAAUCAAACAUUGGAAAGGCCGGAGUCAAACACGGUCAAACGUGUUCAUAAAUGUUGAUCUUGACGUGCGGUGCGAAAUCCAAGCGUGGCGUUGGGGCAUGUUUGGGCCUUCAGAACACUGACCACUGCUCCCCCUGUUGGCAGACUGGAGGAGUGCAACACCCUGAUGGAACUGCUGAAGAAGUUCCAGGGUUGCCGCGGUUACGUGAGCAGCACCAUGCAGAAGGCGGAGCAGGUGAUGGGAGAGCAGGCGUCCUACAUGGGCAAGGAAAACCUGCAGAGGCUCAUCGCCAAGGUCCACGACAUCAAGGAGGACCUGCGGGGCGUGGGCGUGCGUAUGGAGGAGGUCCGGUUUGUCUCCAGGCAGCUGACGGCCCACCUCAAGAAUAUGCCCGACUGCAGUGAGGCCCCGUUCGAGGCCGAGUCCGACGUGCUGAUGGACGGCUGGCUGGACGUAAGGCCCCGGGAACUCCCCGAUUAGGGCUCCUCCUGUUUCUGUAGCUCGCUCCAUGGUCCAACCUGGUCUGGUCUAGCCUUGGAGGGUCUAGUGAGUCUAACCUGGCCUGGUUGGGUCCAGCCUAGUCUAAAUUAGCCUGGAAUAACCUGAUGUAACCUGUUCUAACCUGGUCUGGUCUAACCUGGUCUGGUCUAACCUGGGAGGGUCUAGCCUGGUCUAAACUGGUCUAACAUGGUCUGGUCUAACCUGGUCUAACCUGCCCUGGUCUAACCUGGUCUAACAUGGUCUGGUCUAGCCUGGUCUAACCUGGUCUGGUCUAAUCUGGUGUAACCUGGUCUAACCUGGCCUGGUCUAACCUGGUCGAACCUGGCCUGGUCUGGUGUAACCUGGUCUCAUCUAGGCUAGUGUAACCAGGACUAGUCGGUCUAACCUGAUCUGGUCUAACCUGGUCUGGUCUAACCCGGUGUAACCUGGUCUAACCUGGUCUGGUCUAACCUGGUGUAACCUGGUCUGGUCUAACCUGGUCUGGUCUAACCUGUUGUAACCUGGUCUAACCUGGUCUGGUCUAACCUGCUCUGGUCUAACCUGGUCUAACCUGGUCUGGUCUAACCUGGUCUGGUCUAACCUUGUCUAACCUGGUGUGCUGUUCCAGGUGACGGAGAAGAGCGAGUCGUACAUGGACAACCUGCAGGUGGCGCUGGAGCAGUGGGAGAGGCAGCUGGGGCUGGGGGCGGAGGUGGAGGCCUGGGCGGCGGCCAAGCUGGCCGUGUUCGCAGAGAGCCACCCCUUCCACAGCGAGCAGCAGGUCCUGGACAUGAGGGUACGGACCCCACAAACACACAGGCGCACACACACACACACACACAAACACACACGUACAGGUGCUUACGCACACAAAC